RNAcentral lists this long non-coding RNA (263 nucleotides) under Homo sapiens (human). RNAcentral's name for it is "non-protein coding lnc-TARBP2-4:1". The record is from RNAcentral. Lineage: Eukaryota; Metazoa; Chordata; Mammalia; Primates; Hominidae.
UUUCUUUUAGCUCUUUGAUGUCAUUCCACUGCCUCUGGCUUCCAAGGUUUCUGUUGAUAAAUCAUAUUGAGGAUCCCUUGUACACAUGAGUAACUUUUCUCUUGCUACUUUCAACAUUCUUUCUUAAUCUUUGUCUUUUGAUGGUGUGGUUAUGAUGUGUGUAGUUGUGGAUCUGUUUGAAUUUUUCCUACUUGGAGGUGGUUGGACUUCUUGGAUUUGUAAAUUAAUGCUUUUCAUCAAAUUGGGAAGUUUUCAGCCAUUUC